UACGUAUGGAGCAAGCGUUAUCCGGAUUUACUGGGUGUAAAGGGAGUGUAGGCGGUCUAAAAAGUCUGAUGUGAAAACCCGGGGCUCAACCGCGGGAUUGCAUUGGAAACUUUUAGACUAGAGUAUCGGAGAGGCAAGCGGAAUUCCUGGUGUAGAGGUGAAAUUCGUAGAUAUCAGGAAGAACAUCGGUGGCGAAGGCGGCUUGCUGGACGACAACUGACGCUGAGGCUCGAAAGCGUGGGAAGCGAACAGG
Molecule: ribosomal RNA, 253 nt
Filed under: uncultured bacterium
Lineage: Bacteria
Description: partial 16S ribosomal RNA
Rfam family: Bacterial small subunit ribosomal RNA
Source: RNAcentral